GUCGAGCGGAAAGGCCCUUCGGGGUACUCGAGCGGCGAACGGGUGAGUAACACGUGAGCAAUCUGCCCUUAGCUUUGGGAUAACCCUCGGAAACGGGGGCUAAUACCGAAUAUUCACUGCCGGGCGCAUGUUUGGUGGUGAAAAGUUUUUCGGCUAGGAUGAGCUCGCGGCCUAUCAGCUUGUUGGUGGGGUAAUGGCCUACCAAGGCGACGACGGGUAGCCGGCCUGAGAGGGCGACCGGCCACACUGGGACUGAGACACGGCCCAGACUCCUACGGGAGGNNNCAGUGGGGAAUAUUGCACAAUGGGCGGAAGCCUGAUGCAGCGACGCCGCGUGAGGGAUGACGGCCUUCGGNNNNNNAACCUCUUUCAGCAGGGACGAAGCGAAAGUGACGGUANNUGCAGAAGAAGCGCCGGCCAACUACGUGC
RNAcentral lists this ribosomal RNA (429 nucleotides) under uncultured soil bacterium. Its description in RNAcentral is "partial 16S ribosomal RNA". It matches the Rfam family "Bacterial small subunit ribosomal RNA", at positions 61 to 508 of the family's 1533-position model. The record is from RNAcentral.